GAUGAACGCUGGCGGCGUGCCUAAUACAUGCAAGUCGAGCGAACAGAUAAGGAGCUUGCUCCUUUGACGUUAGCGGCGGACGGGUGAGUAACACGUGGGUAACCUACCUAUAAGACUGGAAUAACUCCGGGAAACCGGGGCUAAUGCCGGAUAACAUUUAGAACCGCAUGGUUCUAAAGUGAAAGAUGGUUUUGCUAUCACUUAUAGAUGGACCCGCGCCGUAUUAGCUAGUUGGUAAGGUAACGGCUUACCAAGGCAACGAUACGUAGCCGACCUGAGAGGGUGAUCGGCCACACUGGAACUGAGACACGGUCCAGACUCCUACGGGAGGCAGCAGUAGGGAAUCUUCCGCAAUGGGCGAAGGCCUGACGGAGCAACGCCGCGUGAGUGAUGAAGGUCUUCGGAUCGUAAAACUCUGUUAUUAGGGAAGAACAAAUGUGUAAGUAACUGUGCACGUCUUGACGGUACCUAAUCAGAAAGCCACGGCUAACUACGUG
This 497-nucleotide ribosomal RNA is filed under the name uncultured bacterium. RNAcentral describes it as "partial 16S ribosomal RNA". It matches the Rfam family "Bacterial small subunit ribosomal RNA", at positions 28 to 507 of the family's 1533-position model. The record is from RNAcentral.